Molecule: ribosomal RNA, 496 nt
Filed under: uncultured bacterium
Lineage: Bacteria
Description: partial 16S ribosomal RNA
Rfam family: Bacterial small subunit ribosomal RNA
Source: RNAcentral
GAUGAACGUUGGCGGCGUGCCUAAUACAUGCAAGUCGAGCGAACGGACGAGAAGCUUGCUUCUCUGAUGUUAGCGGCGGACGGGUGAGUAACACGUGGAUAACCUACCUAUAAGACUGGGAUAACUUCGGGAAACCGGAGCUAAUACCGGAUAAUAUUUUGAACCGCAUGGUUCAAAAGUGAAAGACGGUCUUGCUGUCACUUAUAGAUGGAUCCGCGCUGCAUUAGCUAGUUGGUAAGGUAACGGCUUACCAAGGCAACGAUGCAUAGCCGACCUGAGAGGGUGAUCGGCCACACUGGAACUGAGACACGGUCCAGACUCCUACGGGAGGCAGCAGUAGGGAAUCUUCCGCAAUGGGCGAAAGCCUGACGGAGCAACGCCGCGUGAGUGAUGAAGGUCUUCGGAUCGUAAAACUCUGUUAUUAGGGAAGAACAUAUGUGUAAGUAACUGUGCACAUCUUGACGGUACCUAAUCAGAAAGCCACGGCGAACUACGU